This 386-nucleotide ribosomal RNA is filed under the name Saccharomycetales sp. Its description in RNAcentral is "partial small subunit ribosomal RNA". It matches the Rfam family "Eukaryotic small subunit ribosomal RNA", at positions 582 to 975 of the family's 1831-position model. The record is from RNAcentral. Lineage: Eukaryota; Fungi; Ascomycota; Saccharomycetes; Saccharomycetales.
AUUCCAGCUCCAAUAGCGUAUAUUAAAGUUGUUGCAGUUAAAAAGCUCGUAGUUGAACUUUGGGCCCGGUUGGCCGGUCCGAUUUUUUCGUGUACUGGAUUUCCAACGGGGCCUUUCCUUCUGGCUAACCUUGAGUCCUUGUGGCUCUUGGCGAACCAGGACUUUUACUUUGAAAAAAUUAGAGUGUUCAAAGCAGGCCUACGCUCUGAAUACAUUAGCAUGGAAUAACGCGAUAGGACUCUGGUCUUAUUGUGUUGGUCUUCGAGACCGGAGUAAUGAUUAAGAGGGACAGUUGGGGGCAUUCGUAUUUCAUUGUCAGAGGUGAAAUUCUUGGAUUUAUGAAAGACGAACUUCUGCGAAAGCAUUUGCCAAGGAUGUUUUCAUUG